GUGAAUCAUCGAAUCUUUGAACGCAAAUUGCACUCUCUGGCAUUCCGGAGAGUAUGCCUGUUUGAGGGUCGGGUUAAAUAAAAAUCGAGGUGUUGCUUUUUGGUGACCCAUCGGGAUUGGGCUAUCUUUGACCUUUUAAAAGAUUUAAGUGACCUAAAAUUGAUACCUUGUACCUCUCAGACGUACAUAAGUAUCUUUUUUUAUCCGUUCUGA
This 213-nucleotide unclassified non-coding RNA is filed under the name Glomeraceae sp. RNAcentral's name for it is "partial contains 5.8S ribosomal RNA and internal transcribed spacer 2". The stretch from base 1 to 71 matches the Rfam family "5.8S ribosomal RNA", at positions 84 to 154 of the family's 154-position model. Lineage: Eukaryota; Fungi; Glomeromycota; Glomeromycetes; Glomerales; Glomeraceae. The record is from RNAcentral.